GAGGGACUUGGUGGGAGAUAAUUUAAAUCAUGAGGGUGGUUUCCCCCAUACUGUUCGCAUGGUAGUGAAUAAGUCUCAUGAGAUCUGAUGGUUUUAUCAGGGGGUUCUGCUUUUGCAUCUUCCUCAUUUUUCUCUUGCCACCACCAUGUUAAGAAGAGCCUUUUGCCUCCCACCAUGAUUCUGAGGCCUCCCCAGCCAUGCAGAACUGGAGACUUGAAAACCAG
RNAcentral lists this long non-coding RNA (224 nucleotides) under Homo sapiens (human). RNAcentral's name for it is "HSALNT0311562". The record is from RNAcentral. Lineage: Eukaryota; Metazoa; Chordata; Mammalia; Primates; Hominidae.